CCACUAUACACGUAAUGUUGUUUGUAUGCCAGUUGCAACACAAACAAAACGAUUUUCGUCACUCGUUUCGCGUUGCAGCUUUGCUCCGAUCUUCGCUCCGUAUCAUCAUGGAUGCAUACAUGAAAUUGGAAUGGUCGAAGCAGAACCGGCGCAGCGAGCAGCGCCUGCUGGAGUACUUCGCAAUCGAUUUUUCCCAGUACGAGGAAGACAUCUUCAAUCUGCACAUCAAUGAGACGGAUACGGUGCACCAGCUGGGCGAUACCUUCAGAGAGGAGCAUCAGGACAACGGUGAAUCGACGGCGCUGCUAGAAUAUCCGGUUGAUCCCCGCACGGGACGACAGGUGAGAGAGUUGGAAAUCGAUACGACCAAAAGGGUGGGUUUGUACGAUGAUUUUCCCAGUGGUUCUCAAUUGAGCCGUGCAGACCACCAGCACUGUCUAAAAGUUCUGAACCGUAUCAAUAUGCGGCUGGCAUUCGAAAGCACUGAGGAUCGCAAGGCGUUGGAAAGGUACCGGACAUUGAUGAAGAGAUUGGAGAACGAGCGAAAACUGUUUGAAAGCUUUGUGAAGAAUUAUUUCAAUAGUAACUUGGUGUGUAGGAAGAGUUCGAUCGACAAGGAGUUGGACGAUUUAGUUGUGGCAAUUUGGAAGGGGAAAGUCGGAAGGAUAUUGGAUGGUUUUGCGGAUAAAAGGUACAUGCUGGCGACCGCAGUAAUAUGGCUUAAUUAUAAGCAGCACGAGAGGAAUGUGCGAUUUGAGCCAGUUUCUGAAGAUGUGGUGGAAUUUGGGGUAGUGAAGAAUAUAUUCACCGAGUCCCUCUUGCAGUGUGACACUUUGAGGCGGAAUCAACGAAUUUUGGAUGCUUUUUUUGAAGAUCAGCACCGGGCGCAUCCGGUGGAUGAUAACGCCGAGUUAAAGACAAUACUGCAGCAGGAUGAAGAUAUCCGUUUCGUAACUAACUCGGGGACGCUUGCCUAUCUUCUUAAUUGUGCAAGUAACAUGGAAGAGCAAUGGAUGGUUCCUUUCAAAAUUGAAGUAAUUGAAGGACGGAAUGUGAUUUUCAUUGACAGAAAACUUCAGCCAAUAAAAAUGCUUACCCAUGAUAGGAAUAUAAAGGCUCACAAGUACUUGGUACGCAGCUUUAUGUCGAUUGUUAGAAAAGAUAAUCCUUUGAAUGUUAGUCGGGAAGCUGAUGGAGAGAAGGAUACUGAAUGUACAGUCAAAACUGAGUUCAAAGUAGUAGGAUUUGAUGAAUAUCUUCAGUCGAUUGCAGAGGCGUCAAAAUUGAAGCCACAUCCGCAUAGGAAUAGUCGUCUACAGUUGUGGAAAUUGCAGGAAGGUGAUGAUCAGUAUAGAUUUUUGGUGAGGUCCCGUAUGGAUUGUUAUGAAUCUCUACGAAAAGUAAAAUUCUACAUCAACAUUUCGAUCAAACUGGAGUAUCAAGCUGAGUUUGGCGCAGAACAAAUGACCAUGAAUGAGCUGAUUCAUGAAUGGGCGCGACAGUACCUCCGACCGAACUCGAAAACCCUUCGAUUGCGGAUUAACGCCGCUACACAUGCCAUCGUGUCGCACCACUAUUUGGAGUUGAAAGACAUUGAAGAAGAAUUGAAACGCUCGUACAACAUCGAUCCAGCUAAUCUUAUUACUAAUCUUUGGCAAACCUUGAAACUUCUUCUAAACUUUCCGCCAGGAGAGCACAUCCUACAACACGACCUCAAAAACAAGGAAACAGUAAAUGUCCUAUCCAUCAACACAUCCACGAACCCAACCUGUUCUUCCAUUAGCCUGGCAGACCUUUACUCGAACGUCGAAUAUGACCGACCGGCAGUCGAAUGCUACGAAUGGAUUCCCAUCGACAAAUCUGUGAUAACUCAAAUGCACAGAGAGAACACACUCCUACCGUGCACCUUUCCUCACUGGGUCUCCGUCAAGCGUAUUACUUCCCGCGAAACGCUGAAAGCCAAACGACCUCCCCCGGUUCCCACCGUAACCUCGGAAUCGAAACCCAAAAAGAAGAAAUCCAAAGCGAGCCGCGUUCGUAAAAAGCUCAAAGAUCGCGAAAAUAAAGCGCAGGAACGGAAGCAUCAACAUUUCGUACAAGAAGUCCAACAAUCGUUGAAUCAUUUCGCUCCCUACGAAGGUCCUUCGCGAAGCCGCCGUUCAGUUGACAAUGACGCGAACAAAAAGGCCAGCAGCGUCACUCGUGCGAAAAGCCGGGAAUCCCUUGACUAUCAAUUGUACGUGAACCAGGUCAGCGGAAGUGGAAAAUAAGAAGACCAAUAAACUAAAAAUGGAAAACUGUUU
This is an RNA transcript of Aedes albopictus (Asian tiger mosquito), 2303 nucleotides long. RefSeq lists it as uncharacterized. The transcript has 2 exons. NCBI's taxonomy places the organism in Eukaryota, Metazoa, Arthropoda, Insecta, Diptera, Culicidae. The record is from RefSeq and is a predicted model, not a curated record.